Molecule: ribosomal RNA, 456 nt
Filed under: uncultured bacterium
Lineage: Bacteria
Description: bacterial SSU rRNA
Rfam family: Bacterial small subunit ribosomal RNA
Source: RNAcentral
AACGAACGCUGGCGGCGUGCUUAACACAUGCAAGUCGAACGCGAAAGUUUCCUUCGGAAGACGAGUAGAGUGGCGCACGGGUGAGUAACGCGUAAGUAAUCUGCCCUGGUAUCUGGGAUAACCCACCGAAAGGUGUGCUAAUACCGGAUACGCUGAGCAAUCAGGAAAGGUGGCCUCUUCAUGAAAGCUACUGUACCAGGAGGAGCUUGCGUACCAUUAGCUAGUUGGUAGGGUAAUGGCCUACCAAGGCAACGAUGGUUAGCGGGUCUGAGAGGAUGAUCCGCCACACUGGAACUGAAACACGGACCAGACUCCUACGGGAGGCAGCAGUGAGGAAUAUUGCGCAAUGGGGGAAACCCUGACGCAGCGACGCCGCGUGGAUGGAUGAAGGCCUCGGUCGGUAAAUACCUGUCUAGAUGGAAGAAAUAGUAGUAUAGCCGUAAUACGUAGUACGUA